AAGCCGUGGUGAGGACACUGAUUAGUAUAUCUCCUGAAUCGUCCCCAAGCCUCACUGAAUCUUUCAUUUGUAUGUUUUGUGAAGCUUGAGAUCUGAUUUCCGAGCUU
Small nucleolar RNA from Eutrema salsugineum, 107 nucleotides. It matches the Rfam family "Plant small nucleolar RNA R71". Rfam says of the family: R71 is a member of the C/D box family of snoRNAs containing the C (UGAUGA) and D (CUGA) box motifs. Multiple nearly identical copies of this snoRNA have been identified in Arabidopsis, and it is thought to function as a 2'-O-ribose methylation guide for 18S ribosomal RNA. The record is from Rfam. Lineage: Eukaryota; Viridiplantae; Streptophyta; Magnoliopsida; Brassicales; Brassicaceae.